GACUCGGUGCGGGCACGGGUCGAAGUUCGUCGGUUACCACUUUUAAUGGGGAGUCGCAGGUUCGAGUCCUGCCCGGGGCCA
Molecule: transfer RNA, 81 nt
Filed under: Nonomuraea angiospora
Lineage: Bacteria; Bacillati; Actinomycetota; Actinomycetes; Streptosporangiales; Streptosporangiaceae
Description: tRNA-Lys
Source: RNAcentral